This is a non-coding RNA of Podarcis lilfordi (Lilford's wall lizard), 12185 nucleotides long. The record is from the annotation of a GenBank genome assembly. Lineage: Eukaryota; Metazoa; Chordata; Lepidosauria; Squamata; Lacertidae.
AAUGUGUUGGUGGGCUCAUGCGGAAGAAGGUGUCCCUUAAGGUAGGUUGCUCCUAAGGGGCUUCCCAGCUUAAAACAGGUAUUGAAUGGAAAGUAGUAUAAGUCCAUGAAUACAUUCCAUAUUGCCCAGUAAUGUGGUAGGAAAAGACGACUGCCAUAUAUGUAUAUAUAUACACCUGUAAAUGGCAUAGAGUAUUCCCAGUUCAGAAGGCAUUUGCCAGCAGAAUGUCCAAAUCUGAAUGUGCCUUAACACUUUUGUAAAACCCUGUGCGCAUGUCUGGAUUUAGCAUCUCCAUCAGUCAGCUGGCCAGAGACUCUUCUUGUUCCCCCGAGGCUUUUGGGUUACCAUAGGAACACCUGGAACAACCCCCAAGCUGGUCCCCUGACAGGCCGCUUUUCUGGACUUUGCAGUCCAGCUCCUUGGUCAGCGAAGACCCCCCGGGCAGCAAAUGUCUUUCCAGCACAGGAGAGAGAAAGGGAAGCAAAUGGUGUGGAAAUGCGUAGCAAAUUGGGUUGCAAUGUAACACGGGCCUCUCCCUGCUGUGCUGUGCGAUUCCUCUUUGCCCUGGAGGCAGGGCAGGCAGAUGGGGAACCAAUCAUUCUGGAAAGGAGAAAACAAUAAUGGCCUUGCCAAACAUUUCUGGGGAGAAGAAACACCAGCUGAACCCAGAGCUUUUUAAAAUAUAUAUUUUUUAACCCAGAACUCUUCUAGCAUGUUCUGGUCUGUUUUGCUUGGGAAACGCUGCUUUAAAAAUGGGUCGUUGCUGUGCUGCGAGUUCUCUGCAGUGUGUAUCCUUCAGGGUUCUCUCAGUAACUUUGCAUAUGAUCCUUUUAGAGGAGGGAGGAAGCAGGACUUUCCAGGGUGCUAAUGCCUGGUGGGUUUUUGUGGUAUACAACACCUCGAACAGUGAGGGAAACGAGCUUCUUGACUAGCUAGUGGCAAGUGAGCUACAAAGGCUGAAUACCUAAAGAGCUACAGAAAAGAACCCCAAACCUGAUCAAUGAGGAGGGAAUCGUGGGAAUGUUCAGGGAUGCAGGAGAGGAUAUAUUGUUUGAUUAUAGCCUUUCCAACUUGUGUAAACAAGUUCACAAUUUAGCAGAGUAACAUUUCCCUUUUUAAACUCACAGCGGUUGCGUUUGCUCAGGCUCACUAAAGCCUCUAUAACAACUGUCCUGGUAUUUUCCCUUUUAUUCCCUUAUAAAAGAUAAGACACGACACAGUCUUCUAUAAAAGUAUAAAAGAGUUUACUCACUCACAUUCUGUUCACGGUCGGAUCCCAGAAGGCAGACUUAUCUUAGAAAAGUAACAUACACUUGGAAUCUAUCCCAUAAAGAGACAGUCCCUUUGUUCUCUCUUGGCUGGAGGCAAACAGAGCAUCUUUGGCUAAGCAGAUGUUGCUUCUUUGACGAAAGUAGUCAGAGAGAGAGAUGGCUGCCCUGCCCUGUGCUUUUGUCAUUACCUGCACAGGUGAGGCCACGUCCACCUCUUGUCACAUGUAGAUGAAGUCUGUCCCAGCCCAGAAGGAAACAGGAAGUUUACCUGCUGGCUGGACAAACAUUCCUCCUCGUGUGUAAAUAUGUUCACUCUAGGAAUGUUGUACUUGACUGCUCUUGUGUUUCAUACCCCACGGGAAUGCCCCACCUGUUCUGUCCCCACCCCUAUACAGAACCUUGGAAGGUUUUUAUUUGGUCCAAUGGUUGAUUGGCACAUGCCUAUGCCAAUAGAAUCAUAGAAAUGUAUGGCUGGAAUCGUUCUGAUGUGUUGCAUUACACAAUUGUACUUUGAAACUUGUGCAGUUUUAGAUUCCUGUCACCACAUGCAAUGAAGCUUGCAUGACAGCCAUUUGAGAUUUGACUGUUCUCUUGCUGUAAUUUAGCAAUAGUCGUUACAUUUUUGGUUGGGACAGGAGUAAGGAAGCCAUGUGGUUCACAAUACACGUGUCUACAGAUUGCUCUUUCCCCCACCCAAGUCUUUCCUACCACCUUCCUCCUGCUUGGCCAAGACUGAUUUGCAAUGCCUUCCCCCCCCAGCGAUAAACUUUGGAUUUCAAGGCAGCUGUAACACAGACUUUUAGAUGAAUUACUCAAGGAAGAGACUCUGUCUGGCAGGGUUGCGAACUCCUCACUCAGCCCCUUUAUCAGCGGUUCAAUCAGUGUUGGUUGCCAGGUAAUCUCAUAUAACUCCCCAGCAUGAAAAGCUUCUUGUAUAUCAAGCUGCUGUUAAAGGUAGGUCAAACUGUUUGGUUGGCUGCAGCUGUCCCCUCCCCCCCCCGCCUCCCGCUCAGUUAGCAACCCUCCAGGUAGGGUGGCCAGGUGGAAAAGAAGAGAGAGGUCUCCUGCACCUUUAAUAGUUGCGUAGAAGAGGCAUUUUUCAACAGGGCUUACUUAAACUCCCAUUUUCUACACAACUAUAACACUGGAGAACAAUUUUUUUUUUCAUUUUCUCUUGCAUGAGAUUUUUCAACUGUUCUUAUAUGUUCUUUCAAUGCUGAUUUCAAAUCUGAAAUCAGUUUUCGUGUACAUGGUAUAGUUAUCUUUCAAUUUCUGACUUUUGUUGAUAUGUCAUAUUUACACUGGGGAUAAGUGGACACUGACACGUUGAUCUACCCUAACCACAUGGUAAUUAUGGUUUUGCAAACUUAAUUUUUCUUUAUUUUUAUAGUUUUGUAACCUAAAUAUUUGUAUUUUUCAGAUCGGACCAUGGCUUCUUCAAGUAGACAAAAAUGUGUAAUUUAAUGUGUAAUUUAAUUUAAUUUUAAUUUAAUGUGUAAUUUAAGGUUUAGGAGUCCCCUCUCAUCUUUAAUUUAAGGUGUAUGAGUCCCCUCUCAUCUUUCACCUACAGGACAGCUGAACGGACCUAUUCUCCCUGUUUUCUUCAACUAAUCUCAAUUAUGUUCUAUUUGGGUUUCUCCUUUUUCAUUUUGUAUGUGUUGAAAGUUUUAUGAAUCCCCCUCCGCCUGGGAGUGGAAUCCAGUAAGCCAUUCCCACUGAGCUAUAUUUUGAGUAGAUAGGUACAGGAUUGUGCUGCUAUUUCAAUUAUAUAUCCAUUGUUUUGGUUGCAUUCCUGUCUUUUGCUUCUUUAUAUUUUGUUGAAUUAUCAUCCAGCCUUUCUUCCAAAGAACACCAAAGUACCCUACAUAGUUUUCUUCCCAUGUUAUACCCACAACAUCCCUGUGAGGUAGGUUAUAUCAGGAACUGAUAUAGUUCCUAGCCUAAGGUUGCCCAGUGAGUUUCAUAACUGAGUGGAACUAACUGGGUACUCUUGAUCCAACACUCAAACCUUGCCACUACAAAAUUCUGUAUGCUUUUGUUCAUACAAAAUCUAUUGUCAUAAUUAUAGGCUUGGAAUGUCCAUUCUGAAUUCGUCCCAUUCCGUUUCCCCCCCCCAUUCAAUACAUCUACAGUAAAACCUCUUUGCGGUACAUAUAUAAUACAGGCAAACACUAAUCUGAAAUAAAAAGUCAAAACCAGGACCUCUGUUUCAGAACUGGCACUUCAAUUAAAUAACCACACCUUGAAUACCAUAUGCCAUUCUUGUUUUUAUGUUAAAGAUGAAGGACUGAACAGGAAAGGGUGAAAACCUAGGAGGGAAAAGGGGCAAGGAUCUUCCAUCUUUAUAUGAUCAGUGACUAAAGGGAAAAUAACCCAUUGGAAAAUAUGAUAUAUGUGAGGCUGGCCAUGAAUUAUGUGGAGAAAGGGGCCUAUGUUAUCCUUUUUGUGGGAAGAAAAAGAGUGAACAUCUCAUAUUUGGCAUUUUUAAAAAAUAAAAAAAAAUGUUACAUUCAUGCCCUUUCUUCUAUGGAAAUCAGUGAAACAUACAUAGAGUUCCUAGAUAGUAUAUGCUAUCAGAAAAUGACCAGUCUCAGCCUUGCUUAGCUUCAGAAUGAUAUGAAAAUUGAGAGCCAGUGUGGUGUAGUGGUUAAGAGCGGUAGUCUCCUAAUCUGGGGAACCGGGUUCGCGUCUCCGCUCCUCCACAUGCAGCUGCUGGGUGACCUUGGGCCAGUCACACUUCUCUGAAGUCUCUCAGCCCCACUCACCUCACAGAGUGUUUGUUGUGGGGGAGGAAGGGAAAGGAGAAUGUUAGCCGCUUUGAGACUCCUUAAAGGGAGUGAAAGGCGGGAAAAAAAAAGAAAAAAAAAAAAAAGAAUGAUAUGAAAAUUCAGCCUGUAAUGUUUGAUCUGGGCUAACAUUACGACUCAUUUCACAUGUGCAGGUCACUGUUCCUGAUGUUGCGGUCUGCAAGUGAACUAUGUUUGUAUUUGAGAAGCCCAUAGCUGGUCCAGCAGAGUGAUCUUAGAUGGCUGACUGCUGGUCGUGACUUGGGUGUGACAGAGUAAACAGAUGGUGGCAUCCUUUGUAGGGGACAUUGUCAAAGACUAGUCACUGGGCUGACUGGCUGUUAGUUUGACCUUACCUAGCAAUGGGCAUACAAGUUAGCCUGGGAUUCGCAUCUGAAGGACCAGCUGCUUUAUAAUGAUGAAGCACGUCAUUUAGUUACAGCUGAGCCAAAAUUCCUCAGAAGAAUUUUUUUGUGAGAACAGUUGAUGUGUUUUUUUCCUUUUGCUCACCCUGCUUUGAAACCACUUUGUAGAAUAUCCUCCGAGUAUUUUUCCCACCAGUUUCUCUGGGCUGGCCUCAAUUCCCUUGCCCCCUGGCAAACAACAUGAAAUGACAGUAGACCCAGGGCGUUGUGGAAGCUGCAAAAUGGUAGCCCGGCAGCCGACGCAAUUUCUGCUGCCACUUUCAAUGCUAGCAAAAAACAAAUCUUAUGGCAGGAAUAAUAAAAAAAAUAAUAAUGAAGCUGUGGUAGUGCUUUGCUAAUGGUGAGCCCUCCCCCUUGAGAAACAUUUGGAUCAUUUUUCCUUCCCCUGGUCGGUGAAAUGUCCCCCCCACCCCCAAAUUUCUCUGGCCACAAUUAAGGUGAAGCUUUUCGGGAGUUAGCUGCCUCCCUCUACAGUGGUACCUCAGGUUACAUACGCUUCAGGUUGCAUACGCUUCAGGUUACAGACCAGAAAUAGUACCUCGGGUUAAGAACUUUGCUUCAGGAUGAGAACAGAAAUGUGCUCUGGCGGCGCAGCUGCAGUGGGAGGCCCCAUUAGUGGUGCUUCAGGUUAAGAACAGUUUCAGGUUAAGAACAGACCUCUGGAACGAAUUAAGUACUUAACCCGAGGUACCACUGUAGUUUGGUAGGUGGCUUCGUGCAUAUGGGUGACGAUGACUUACCUAAGAUGUAGGCACAGCUGAGAAACUUAUUGAAGCCGUUUCAGUUUCAACAGCCAGUCAGAUUGUCUGUUAACAAUUAACGUUAUUCUGCAACAAGUGAUAGUAACUGGCUCUGUGUGUGCACAGCUACCACAGUCCCUUUGGAACGAGGCCAAGAGACUGUGGGAGACAUGCAGAUGUGCAGUUCUUUUUGCUCUGGACAAUCUUCGGUUUUCAGUGCAAGGGGUGGCAGCUGGGAAUGUUUUAACCCUUUUAGGUUUGCAGCAGCUUCCCAGCACAGCAAACACAGGGACUUCUCUUAAAUCAUAUCAAUGGGUCCCGGUGUUCGAUCUGAGUUGCAUUUCUGACUUAUCUUUAGGGAAAGACAUUCCAGUGUAUUAACCAGAUGGAUUGCACCAAUGUUCCCUCUGUGCUAAGAAUGUAAAUAGCAGCGCUGGACUCCCAGGGCUACAGUGCCAACUGGAGACAGUUGGACGUUUCAGCAAUAUGCCGUUUGACUGUAACCCUUUCCCCAGCCUGUUCUGACCCCACAGCUGCAAAAGCCUUACCCAAGGGGUUUGAAAUGCAGUUGCGGCCAAGUUAAUAGCAACACAACUUGGGAGCCACCACCUGCCUGUGAAUGGUAUUGCAGAAUAUGGUUGUGUUGCAAUGUAGGAGUGAGGGAGAGCGCCACAGUCCAAAGACGAUCAAGAGGUCACACUUCAUCCCAGGAAACAUUGCACAACACGGCAUGUAGGAAAUUGUGAAACUGUUAAAAAUAGCUCAGUGUUUUCCCCUGUACUAAGAAUAUAAUUAGCUAUGCUGCAUCCCUGGAUUUUUCUAUUUCUAGUUCCUAACUUUUAAAAAGUUGCUCUUACCGCCAGGAGUUGCUGGCACAAGCUCCUUUGAUAUUGGUGCAAGAGCAUAGCUUGUGUCUUCUGGAAGGAAUAUACAGCUCUAAUCAAGGGAUGUGCUUGUAUUCAUGCCAUCAGCGCUGAAAGCCUUCCAUAGGGAAUGGGCCUGAUUAAAAUCCAUCUACAAAGCAGCACCUCUGAGCUGUGAUAAACCAAUUAAUUAAUUGCAUUGAUCAAUGCUUUCAGUCAUAUGGUCAAGUGAUCCAUUCCCCUGGGGUUUGCUUCUAGCUUUUGGCAGUUGCUGUUAUAGGAUGCGAUUACAUUUAAAAUGACAUCUGCACUUAUAAAUUGCAAAUUCAGAUCCAUAUUUUUGAUUCCGUUCUGAAUUUUCAUAUGCGAAUGCAUUGGUUUUUGUUUGUUUCUUUUUACCUGUAGCCCAUCCAAAGUUUUGUGAUGAUGUUAUUCAUUACAUGAUUAUAUGAGAGCCUAGAUUAUUUGAAUACAUGGUGACCUAAUGUUUCCUUUAUUGUAUUAAAAGCUACACAAAUAUUGAAGUACAACAAAGGAAGGAUAAUUUAAAAUUACAAAGUAACACAUGACAAGGGAAUUAAUAACCAAGUGUGAAUGAGGCGCUUAGGUACCCUAAGACUGCUGCAGUUUGCAAUGGGUAUAGAUUCACACUGGAAUAGAUUCACUAAGGCAGAUGCGCUACUCAAAUACUGUUCCUGCAUUUGAACAUUCUUGAAAUGUCAACUAUUGUUAGGUUGCCUACCUUGGCAUUUUUUGCAUGGUGGUUAUAUUGUUUGGAUUUAAGCAUGUCCCUUCCAAAGCCAAAUGUCUCAGAAAAAAAGCUUGUAAUCCUAAACACACUUAGGAAGUUACAGUGCAAUCCUAGCCAUGUCUACUCAGAAGUCGGUCCUAUUGAAUAGUGUUUACACCCUGGCCAUUGAGAUUAGGAUUGAGCUCAGGCUUCUAAACAUGUUUAGAGUUGUACACUGUCAGAGACUGACAACCAGGAAUCAGGCACUGGGAUUGAGGGCGAACAGGAUUUAGUGGCUACUAAAUCCAGAGGAGGAGAGCCUGGCUGUUCUCUUCUUUGCCUAUUUUUUACUGUACCCAUUUUACCACCUGAAAGUAGGAUAGAUUACAAGCUGUUUUUACAGAGAACCUUAGCAGCAGCAAGGAAUUGCCAAGGUGGCAAAGAUUUGCUAAUGCGUUUAUAUUACAAUUAUAGUACAGUCUCAGUGGGCAUAGUCUACAUUCUUAUUUUGUCUGCAAGAGCAUGUUGGUGAUAGAAACUGAACUCUACUGGGCUGGCAGAUACCUACUCAUAGAUUUUAAUUUAAACAGUUUCUCCUUACAUCUUACACCAAACCAUGCAUUCCAGCUUGAUUAUAUGUGCAUUUUUUGUCGUGGUGUUAGGAAAUACUCCAUUUGCAGCUAUGGAAAGCUUUCCCCCCCUUCAUAAAAUAAAAAGUAUAGCCUUGAAUAUUAUUACCAGGCCUGGUUUCAGGAGCUGGCAGGACUUCCAAGACCUGCACAGAUAGCCACUGCCAAUCCCAGGAACUUCCUGGCUUUUUUUGCUCCUUCUCAUUGCUGCCUUGUUCACUUGUCUUCUUUUGGUGAGAGGCAGAGGAGCAAGAAGGGGAGUAACUCACACACUCCAUGUUCUCUGUCUUUCUGUCUGGAAGGUGGAGCUGACUGAGACAACCUCAUGAGCAUAGCAAUGGCUGUGAAGAAGAUGUGAUCCCACUCAGGGAGUGGGGCUCACUGAGAGGGUCUUAACCAAGGUCUGCCUAAGGUCCACCCAAAACCAGAAACUACCACCGAUAUCUGUCUGUCUGUCUGUGUCUGUCUGUCUGUCUCUCUCUCUCUCUCUGUGUGUGUGUGUGUGUGUGUGUGUGUGAGAGAGAGAGAGAGAGAGAGAGAGAGAGAAACCAGUCAGGUGCAUGCCUGCCUUGCUGUCCAAUAACAGGUUUCCGAGCAUCUGCCCCAGAGGCAGUUUAAUAAUUUGUGUGGUCAAGAGCCAGUGUGGUGUAGUGGUUAAGAGCGGUAGACUUGUAAUCUGGGUAACCGGGUUCGCGUCUCCGCUCCUCCCCUUGCAGCUGCUGGGUGACCUUGGGCCAGUCACACUUCCUUGAAGUCUCUCAGCCCCACUCACCUCACAGAGUGUUUGUUGUGGGGGAGGAAGGGAAAGGAGAAUGUUAGCCGCUUUGAGACUCCUUCAGGUAGUGAUAAAGUGGGAUACCAAAUCCAAAAAACUCUUCUUCUCAAGGUGCUGCAAGGCAUGUUGGGAACCCUACAGGGAACCAGGCAGAGGGCCUUCUCGGUAGUGGCGCCCGCCCUGUGGAACGCCCUCCCAUCAGAUGUCAAAGAGAUAAACUACUACCUAGGCAGCCCUGUUCAGGGAAGUUUUUAAUGUGUGACAUUUUAAUGUAUUUUUAAUCUUUGUUGGAAGCCGCCCAGAGUGGCUGGGGAAACCCAGCCAGAUGGGCGGGGGUGUGUGGAAAUAAAUUAUUAUUAUUAUUAUUAGGCCUAAAAAGGCUGCUUCUUGAGUGUUACAUUAACCAGCCCAGCGACCAAGUCUGGUAAGUAGAGUGAGGUCGCAGCAGCUGAUCUUGCAUGUCACCGAAAGGCAGCAGAUUGGCAUUUAAUUUAUUAUGCUGAAUUGUGUUUUUAUUUUUUAUUUUUUACUCCCAGGGAGAAGCAUUUGCAAGAUUUUCUCAGCUGCCAACAUAACAUGGCCUGCCUUGGCUAUGGUGCACCUUCACUUUGGGGAGGGGCAUCGAUCGAUGUUUUGCUUCACGCACCAAAACGUCUUGGUUUAUUAUGUUUAAUAUAGAGUAAGCUAUUUGCUGUAUAAGGCAUGUAAAAUGUGAGUCUCCCCUCUUUCUUAUCAACUGCGACAAAUUAUUAAUGUUUACCCUGACUUGUUGAAAAUAGUGAGAGACACACACAUAUAUCUGGCUUGGUUGUAGAACAGCCUCUCCCCCCUGCCCCCCACCCCUUGCAACAGGUUCCCAAGCCAAACAUUUCCUUCCUGCUCUAGUGGAGAGCACGUCUCUUGUUUCAUCUCAUUAGUGGGAAAAGUCCACCACCGGUGAGCACAGCCGGAACUGGUUGCUAUGGCAACACAUGUUUAUUGAGCUCCUGAGAUAUGAGGUACUAGGCUGGGGAGAGGCACUCUCAAACAUUGUGGGGGGGUGUCGGAGGGCUGCGCUGCGUGGUCUGUGGAGCCAACGGUGUCACUGAAGGAUGUGUGAAGGGGCCGGAGCUAGCCCCAUACCUAGGGCCAUGGGACCCCACACCAUUCGCUGAGGCUGAAAGGGCUGGGAUUUGGUUUCUUCCUGUGUAGGCCCGACAGCGUUCGAAGCAGAUGCGCAUUGCCAGUUACAAUGCAUAUGAUGUUGUGGGGUGUGAGAUGGAAUGCAGCCUCCCCCAACCUGGUGCCCUCCGAAGGGCAUUCGGAUGAAAAUUCCCAUCAGCCCUCACCAGCAUGAUGUUGCUGCCCAGGAUUGAUAUGAGGCUGUGACUUCCUUUUUCACACCGUUGUUCCAGCUGCAGAGACAGGCUUGGAAGGACUGGACAGGACAGGCCGUAGGGGUGCCAACUUGAAUAAUAUAUUGGGAGGGGGCAGGUAAGCUCCGCCCCACAUAAUCUAUCACAUGAUGUGGAGCACACAUUUGAGUGGCAAUGCCCAUCAAUUUUGGCAGGCAGCCCCCUCAAAUAUUUUAUCGGGGUGGGGUUGUGGGGGCUGAUGGGACUUUGACCCCCAGGAAUUGGCUCCUAUGGGACAGGGAGAGCAAUGUCUGGCAAAAUCUUCAGAAGCAGGCUGUAUGCGGUCAGGGCUGUAGAACUCCUAGGGACAGCUUUUGCAACACUAGGCUAGUGCAUGGGGCUCUCAUAUUAAAAGUUUAAAUCAAUGGAUACUUGACAGUAUGAUAAUUAGCCAAAGAUAAGCCUCUUUCAUUUAAACAGAACGCGUGUGCCCUUAACAGCUGCAUAACAGGCUGAAAUACAACAGGUAAACCCCGCAACUGGAGAUGCAGUGAUGGGAAACGUGCGCAGUGUUUGCUGCCUAUUAUACAGCUAUUAAUGACAUAGGGUUUCUUUGCAUGAAAAAGAUACAGAUCUUAAAUAUAAAUUGCAUGAAAGGUCCAAGAGUGGUUGCGGGUGAGUCAGAAUCCUUGGCCAUCUCCUUACAUAUGUUAAAGCUCCCUUUUGAUCUCUUCUCUACUUCUCAGAGUGGUCUGUAAGCCAUCCCUUUGCCCUGCUGUUAAAUAUUCCUUGAUCUUGCAGGGAUCUGCUGCUUCCUGCAGACUGUUCAUAUCUGAAAAUAAUCUUUCUUUCUUCAGGUGACAAGAGAAUCCCAAAUUGCUCGAAAGGCUUUGCAAUGCAUAUACGUUACCAGAAUGUGUAGAACAGAUGGAGCUGAAACAUCAGCUCGUGAGGCCAAGGGCAGGAAUUAGGAAUCAAAGCCCAACCAAGUAUUGGCCGCUAACAAUACAAUCACAGUAGCAGAGUUGGACAAUGCAGCAAGUGGGCUUUCCAAGGAGGUCUGGGAUUGUUCCAGGACGGGAGAGAGGCUUUCAGAUGGCUAUUUUAAGAUGAAUGUAACUGGAGAACAAAGGCACUCUUGAUGGUCCAGAACAUAACAAAAUUGUAGACUGCGAGCAUCCAAGAGUGCAAGACCUUAAAAAAGAAAAGAAAACAAUUCCACCAGAACCUUAUGUUUGUUCUUAAUGAGAGAAAUGACGGGCAGUGUGACAGGUUAUAUUUACUCUCUCCCGCAGAUGUCUGUGUAGGAGAGACAAAGUAAAGAGGGUGGAUUUAUUUAGUGUAUAGUUAAAUGGGGGAUGCGGGUGGCACUGUGGGUUAAACCACAGAGCCUAGGGCUUGCCAAUCAAAAGGUCAGCGGUCCGAAUCCCUGCGACAGGGUGAGCUCCCAUUGCUCGGUCCCUGCUCCUACCAACCUAGCAGUUUGACAGCACACCAAAAAGUGCAAGUAGAUAAAUAGGUACCACUCCGGAGGGAAGGUUAAUGGCAUUUCCGUGCGCUGCUCUGGUUCGCCAGAAGUGGCUUAGUCAUGCUGGCCACAUGACCUGGAAGCUGUACGCCGGCUCCCUUGGCCAAUAAAGCUAGAAGAGCGCCGCAAUCUCAGAGUUGUCCGCGACUGGACCUUAUGGUUAGAGGUCCCUUUACCUUUACCUAAAUGGGAGUAAAAAGCUGCCCUCCCUGCAGUGAUUCUGGAGUUACAGCUAUGUAAAAUGAGGGAAAGGUCUUCCACUCACCUUAGUAAUGUCCCAAAUGGCACCUUUUCCUCCUCUCUCCUAAAGAAGUUGAUGAUAAUGGUUUAUUCUUUUUAAUGUGGUCAUUGAAAGGUACUGCCGCGGUUGAGGUGGUAGUAGAACUUGUCCCAUCCCCUACAACUGAGAUUACCAGAGUGUUGUAGGGCAGGUGCAAGUUUUGCCCAGAGCUCAGUUAUUUCCACAGCUCCAGCCCUAUAUGCAUCUCCCAUAGAAGUCCAGCAGUGCAGAACCAGUGAAUUUGGACACUGGAGUGAGCGAGGAAUAGAACAAAACUGUUCUUCCUUGUUCCUUAUUCAUUCUCGUUAUCUCCUUUCUGGGCACCUUCACUGUGGCAUAUGCAUGCUGAAAGCAGUCCAGGUAGACAGCCAAAUGUGCUCAGAGGCACAGAGGUCUGUUGGUCACAAUGCAUGCUUUUCAGAAGGUGCCCUAUCAGAAUUCCAGUGUGACCAGUGGACAGAAGCUUUGAACGGGGAUUUUUGAAAUAUGAUUGGUCAUGCCUUCAAAGUGUCAAAACUAAAAGACAAGCUCAGAUUUUUGCAUAAGCUAGAAAACCUCAAGAAAAGAAGGUAAAUGAGCAGGUCCUCCUUUAACAAUAUAAUUCCAGUAGAAAUGAUGACUGCAGUGCCUGGAAAUAAGAUUGUGUAUCCACAGCAGUAACUGGAGGAGGAAUGUCCAGUGGGAGGAGUGUAGAGAGAAGAAACGCCAUGGUGCACCUCAUCUGCCCACCUGCAAUGACUUCAUCUGCCCACCUGCAACAAAACAUGUUUCUUCAGCCACAGAAGGCACUGUAACUCUCCAACUUUGCACUUUUCAUCGUCCCC